AUUGAACGCUGGCGGCAGGCCUAACACAUGCAAGUCGAACGAGUGGCGGACGGGUGAGUCAUGUCUGGGAAACUGCCUGAUGGAGGGGGAUAACUACUGGAAACGGUAGCUAAUACCGCAUACCAUCGGAUGUGCCCAGAUGGGAUUAGCUCGGAGGUGGGGUAAAGGCUCACCUAGGCGACGAUCCCUAGCUGGUCUGAGAGGAUUGACAGCCACACUGGAACUGAGAAACGGUACAGACUCCUACGGGAGGCAGCAGUGGGGAAUAUGGCACAAGGGGCGCAAGCCUGAUGCAGCCAUUCCGCGUGUAUGAAGAAGGCCUUCGGGGUGUAAAGUACUUUCAGCGGGGAGGCGUUACCCGCAGAAGAAGCACCGGCUAACUCCGUGCCAGCAGCCGCGGUAAUUC
This 406-nucleotide ribosomal RNA is filed under the name uncultured bacterium. Its description in RNAcentral is "partial 16S ribosomal RNA". It matches the Rfam family "Bacterial small subunit ribosomal RNA", at positions 30 to 526 of the family's 1533-position model. The record is from RNAcentral.